Oryzias melastigma (Indian medaka) is the source of this 495-nucleotide long non-coding RNA. RefSeq lists it as uncharacterized. The transcript is spliced from 2 exons. The record is from RefSeq and is a predicted model, not a curated record. NCBI's taxonomy places the organism in Eukaryota, Metazoa, Chordata, Actinopteri, Beloniformes, Adrianichthyidae.
GCGGAAGCUGCGACACGUUCACGCGUGAGCGCCACGGUUUACAGAGGAAGAGUGCAUGUGAACGGACGAGGGGACUUACGGCCUCCGCACCACAGUCCGCGUCAGGCUGGGCCCUUCUCUCUCCGUCGAUGCAGACAUGCUGAACCAGGUCCUCCUUAAACUCUGCCUGACGUAACCCAUGGAUAUAACCUUCAUCUCCUGGACAACAGGACCGUUUACAGUUCUUCUGGAUUCCUCCAUCUCUGAAACCUGGGAGCUUCUCCUCAUCUCAACAUGACACUGACAGCAUUACCUGCACUCUAACGCAACAUUUUCUGUUCAGCCAAGAAAAGGCACAAACAAACCCUACCAAGUUUGACAUUGUGGAGAAAAUGAAGAUCAAGAAUAACACUGAAACUUCUGCUGCUUUGAGGGAUCUAGAGAGGAAGCAUGAACACAAAUCUGUGUAGAGUAACAAUAAUCUACAUUAAAUAAAGAUUUUCUGUGUAGACCCAA